AGUGAAGCGGGAAAAGCUCAAAUUUAAAAUCUGGCGGCUUUGGUCGUCCGAGUUGUAUUCUAGAGAAGUGUUUUCCGCGUUGGACCGUGUAUAAGUCUCUUGGAACAGAGCGUCAUAGAGGGUGAGAAUCCCGUCUUUGACACGGACUACCAAUGCUUUGUGAUGCGCUCUCAAAGAGUCGAGUUGUUUGGGAAUGCAGCUCAAAAUGGGUGGUAAAUUCCAUCUAAAGCUAAAUAUUGGCGAGAGACCGAUAGCGAACAAGUACCGUGAGGGAAAGAUGAAAAGCACUUUGGAAAGAGAGUUAAACAGUACGUGAAAUUGCUGAAAGGGAAACGCUUGAAGUCAGUCGCGUUAUCUAGAACUCAACCAGGCUUGCUUGGCGUAUUUUCUAGUUAACGGGCCAGCAUCAGUUUUGACCGCAGGAAAAAGGCCAGGGAAAUGUGGCACCCUCGGGUGUGUUAUAGUCUCUGGUCAUAUACUGUGAUUGGGACUGAGGACCGCAGCACGCGCAAGUUGUGCUUAGGAUGCUGGCGUAAUGGCUUUAAACGACCCGUCUUGAAACACGGACCAAGGAGUCUAACAAACCUGCGAGUAUUUGGGUGGUAAACCCGAGUGCGUAAUGAAAGUGAAAGUUGGGAUCCCUGUCGUGGGGAGCACCGACGCCCGGACCAGACCUUCUGUGACGGAUCUGCGGUAGAGCAUGUUUGUUGGGACCCGAAAGAUGGUGAACUAUGCCUGAAUAGGGUGAAGCCAGAGGAAACUCUGGUGGAGGCUCGUAGCGAUUCUGACGUGCAAAUCGAUCGUCAAAUUUGGGUAUAGGGGCGAAAGACUAAUCGAACCAUCUAGUAGCUGGUUCCUGCCGAAGUUUCCCUCAGGAUAGCAGAAACUCAUAUCAGAUUUAUGUGGUAAAGCGAAUGAUUAGAGGCCUUGGGGUUGAAACAACCUUAACCUAUUCUCAAACUUUAAAUAUGUAAGAACGAGCCGUCACUUGAUUGGACCGCUCGGCGAUUGAGAGUUUCUAGUGGGCCAUUUUUGGUAAGC
RNAcentral lists this ribosomal RNA (1041 nucleotides) under Aphyllophorales sp. DIS 267e. RNAcentral describes it as "eukaryotic LSU rRNA". It matches the Rfam family "Eukaryotic large subunit ribosomal RNA", at positions 92 to 1145 of the family's 3401-position model. The record is from RNAcentral. Lineage: Eukaryota; Fungi; Basidiomycota; Agaricomycetes; Polyporales.